CUGUGUCAGUGAGUCCCUCUGCUGAGAUGAUGGAGGGUGGUUCAGUGACUCUGACCUGUAGCGCUGAUGCUAACCCAGCAGCUAACUACACCUGGUACAAGGAGGAUGAAGACUCACCACGAGCAUCAGGACAGAUGUUCACCAUCACUGACUUCAGAGCUGAACACAGUGGGAAUUAUUCCUGUGAAGCCCAGAACGAGAUGGGACGUAGUACCUCCACCUUACUUCUGAUGACUUCUUCAGGAAAAGGAGGCUUCUUAUGGUCAAUAACAACAACAGCAGCUGUUGCGUCCACAUCCGCUAUUUUCCUGGUGAUCAUGAUGAUCCUCGCUCUCUUCCUCUGGAUCAGAAGAAAAAGGUCCUCACAAAGCUUUUUCCCUGGGAAGAUACCAGACAACAGCGCUGAGAUCCCACUAGCAAAGCUUUGCUAUACCAGCUUGAACUUCUCCAGAAACCAGGAGGAUCUUCUCUACUCCAACAUCAGGCCAACUCGUCCCCCCCAGGGGCAAGCAGGAAGUGGAGGAAGAGGAGAAAGUGGAGGAAGUACAGAACUCAAGUGUCAACGUUAAGAGUUCUGGUGCUGCCAGUCAGUGUGAAGGAGCUGUGGAUGAUUCUUCUGCUCUGUACAGCACCGUCAGCAAAGCACCAAGAGAAUGAAGCCACACGGACAUGUGGUGUGUUACUUUACAGAGUUUAAGCAUACUAACAAAUUACGAGGAAUUCUCAACAGUAGCAUACUGUUAUUCGUCAAUACAGUUGAAUACUGUAAAAUAUUGCAGGUUGAUGUCUUGGAAGAAUAUAUUUUUUACAGCAUGCUACUGUUUAAAGUUGUGGUAUGCUACUGUAUUCCUUUUUUACUCUAACUCUGCCCAUUACUCAUAUAAUCACAUUGCAUCAAGUGUCUACUUAUUUAGCACAUUCAAUGUACUUUAGACUUUAUCUUAUUUUCACCAAGUCAAUUUCCUCUAUGUGUAACAUAUAGCAAUAAAUGGCUUCUGAUUCUGAUCAA
Long non-coding RNA from Pungitius pungitius (ninespine stickleback), 1009 nucleotides. RefSeq lists it as uncharacterized. Lineage: Eukaryota; Metazoa; Chordata; Actinopteri; Perciformes; Gasterosteidae. The record is from RefSeq and is a predicted model, not a curated record. The transcript has 5 exons.